RNAcentral lists this ribosomal RNA (465 nucleotides) under Vreelandella stevensii. Its description in RNAcentral is "partial 16S ribosomal RNA". It matches the Rfam family "Bacterial small subunit ribosomal RNA", at positions 338 to 795 of the family's 1533-position model. Lineage: Bacteria; Pseudomonadati; Pseudomonadota; Gammaproteobacteria; Oceanospirillales; Halomonadaceae. The record is from RNAcentral.
CCUACGGGUGGCUGCAGUGGGGAAUAUUGGACAAUGGGCGAAAGCCUGAUCCAGCCAUGCCGCGUGUGUGAAGAAGGCCUUCGGGUUGUAAAGCACUUUCAGUGGGGAAGAAAGCCUUGGGGCUAAUACCCUCGAGGAAGGACAUCACCCACAGAAGAAGCACCGGCUAACUCCGUGCCAGCAGCCGCGGUAAUACGGAGGGUGCGAGCGUUAAUCGGAAUUACUGGGCGUAAAGCGCGCGUAGGCGGUCUGAUAAGCCGGUUGUGAAAGCCCCGGGCUCAACCUGGGAACGGCAUCCGGAACUGUCAGGCUAGAGUGCAGGAGAGGAAGGUAGAAUUCCCGGUGUAGCGGUGAAAUGCGUAGAGCUCGGGAGGAAUACCAGUGGCGAAGGCGGCCUUCUGGACUGACACUGACGCUGAGGUGCGAAAGCGUGGGUAGCAAACAGGAUUAGAUACCCUAGUAGUC